GUAGCAUCCGUUAACGGCAAUGCACCACGAGCCGCACUUCCCCCGCGAACGAGGAGCAAGACCGGCUCGAGGGCAAGCGUCAUUCAAGGCAACCGAAAUUCGAGGGACACGAUGGGGCAUCGACCCAUGUUCACCGCAUGGACCGCAUCCGAGAGAACGGUACAUGCCCGUGUGCCGCAGAGGUCAUGACAAUGCAUAACUAAUGCGGAGCACGUGCAUUACCUUGAAAUCCUCCGGCAACCCCGCAAAGGAGGCCCGGAUAGAAGGGGAAUUACGAGCCACGUGAAUACCAUUUUUAACAGGUAGUCAGCACAGGAACCGCGAAAGAACACCAGAGCC
RNAcentral lists this unclassified non-coding RNA (339 nucleotides) under Podolobium procumbens. RNAcentral's name for it is "partial external transcribed spacer". Lineage: Eukaryota; Viridiplantae; Streptophyta; Magnoliopsida; Fabales; Fabaceae. The record is from RNAcentral.